UACGUAGGGGGCGAGCGUUGUCCGGAUUCAUUGGGCGUAAAGAGCUCGUAGGCGGCUUGGCAAGUCGGGUGUGAAAACUUCAGGCUCAACCUGGAGCGGCCACUCGAUACUGCCAUGGCUUGAGUCCGGUAGGGGACCACGGAAUUCCUGGUGUAGCGGUGAAAUGCGCAGAUAUCAGGAGGAACACCGGUGGCGAAGGCGGUGGUCUGGGCCGGUACUGACGCUGAGACGCGAAAGCGUGGGGAGCGAACAGG
This 254-nucleotide ribosomal RNA is filed under the name uncultured bacterium. Its description in RNAcentral is "partial 16S ribosomal RNA". It matches the Rfam family "Bacterial small subunit ribosomal RNA", at positions 524 to 776 of the family's 1533-position model. The record is from RNAcentral.